Molecule: ribosomal RNA, 435 nt
Filed under: uncultured bacterium
Lineage: Bacteria
Description: partial 16S ribosomal RNA
Rfam family: Bacterial small subunit ribosomal RNA
Source: RNAcentral
AGCGAACGCUGGCGGCAGGCUUAACACAUGCAAGUCGAGCGGGCACUUUCGGGUGUCAGCGGCGGACGGGUGAGUAACGCGUGGGAACGUGCCCUCUGGUUCGGAAUAACUCAGGGAAACUUGAGCUAAUACCGGAUACGCCCUUUUGGGGAAAGGCUUGCUGCCGGAGGAUCGGCCCGCGUCUGAUUAGCUAGUUGGUGAGGUAACGGCUCACCAAGGCGACGAUCAGUAGCUGGUCUGAGAGGAUGAUCAGCCACACUGGGACCGAGACACGGCCCAGACUCCUACGGGAGGCAGCAGUGGGGAAUAUUGGACAAUGGGCGCAAGCCUGAUCCAGCCAUGCCGCGUGAGUGAUGAAGGCCUUAGGGUUGUAAAGCUCUUUUAUCCGGGACGAUAAUGACGGUACCGGAGGAAUAAGCCCCGGCUAACUUCGUG